GCUGGGGGUGGAUGAGUGGCGAACGGGUGAGUAACACGUGAGUAACCUGCCCCGAACUCUGGGAUAAGCGCUGGAAACGGCGUCUAAUACUGGAUAUGUCCUAUCACCGCAUGGUGUGUAGGUGGAAAGAAUUUUGGUUCGGGAUGGACUCGCGGCCUAUCAGCUAGAUGGUGAGGUAAUGGCUCACCAUGGCGACGACGGGUAGCCGGCCUGAGAGGGUGACCGGCCACACUGGGACUGAGACACGGCCCAGACUCCUACGGGAGGCAGCAGUGGGGAAUAUUGCACAAUGGGCGCAAGCCUGAUGCAGCAACGCCGCGUGAGGGAUGACGGCCUUCGGGUUGUAAACCUCUUUUAGUAGGGAAGAAGCGAAAGUGACGGUACCUGCAGAAAAAGCACCGGCUAACUACGUGCCAGCAGCCGCGGUAAUACGUAGGGUGCAAGCGUUGUCCGGAAUUAUUGGGCGUAAAGAGCUCGUAGGCGGCUUGUCGCGUCUGCUGUGAAAACCAGAGGCUCAACCUCUGGCCUGCAGUGGGUACGGGCAAGCUAGAGUGCGGUAGGGGAGAUUGGAAUUCCUGGUGUAGCGGUGGAAUGCGCAGAUAUCAGGAGGAACACCGAUGGCGAAGGCAGAUCUCUGGGCCGUAACUGACGCUGAGGAGCGAAAGCAUGGGGAGCGAACAGGAUUAGAUACCCUGGUAGUCCAUGCCGUAAACGUUGGGAACUAGAUGUAGGGCCUGUUCCACGGGUUCUGUGUCGUAGCUAACGCAUUAAGUUCCCCGCCUGGGGAGUACGGCCGCAAGGCUAAAACUCAGAGGAAUUGACGGGGGCCCGCACAAGCGGCGGAGCAUGCGGAUUAAUUCGAUGCAACGCGAAGAACCUUACCAAGGCUUGACAUAUAC
This 899-nucleotide ribosomal RNA is filed under the name Leucobacter alluvii. Its description in RNAcentral is "bacterial SSU rRNA". It matches the Rfam family "Bacterial small subunit ribosomal RNA", at positions 79 to 991 of the family's 1533-position model. Lineage: Bacteria; Bacillati; Actinomycetota; Actinomycetes; Micrococcales; Microbacteriaceae. The record is from RNAcentral.